RNAcentral lists this non-coding RNA (253 nucleotides) under uncultured bacterium. RNAcentral's name for it is "partial 16S ribosomal RNA". It matches the Rfam family "Bacterial small subunit ribosomal RNA", at positions 524 to 776 of the family's 1533-position model. The record is from RNAcentral. RNAcentral also lists the same sequence under 1 other name.
UACAGAGAGUGCAAGCGUUGUUCGGAAUUAUUGGGCGUAAAGCGCGUGUAGGCGGCUCGAUAAGUCUGGCGUGAAAGCCUGAGGCUUAACCUCAGAAGUGCGCUGGAAACUGUCAAGCUGGAGUAUCGGAGGGGGAAGUGGAAUGCCGAGUGUAGAGGUGAAAUUCGUAGAUAUUCGGCAGAACAUCAGUGGCGAAGGCGACUUCCUGGACGAAUACUGACGCUGAGACGCGAAAGCGUGGGUAGCAAACAGG